GAAGUGGGCUGGACGGUCGCUGCUGUGGAGGUCUCCGUGACUGAAACAGGGGAGGAAAGUCCGGGCUUCAUAGGGCAAGGUGCCAGGUAACGCCUGGGCGGCGUAAGCCGACGGCAAGUGCAGCAGAGAGUAGACCGCCUCAUUCGUGAGGUAAGGGUGAAAGGGUGCGGUAAGAGCGCACCGCGUGUCUGGUAACAGUUCACGGCAAGGUAAACCCCACCAGAAGCAAGACCAAAUAGGAAUCCUGAGGCACGGCCCGUGCUGGAUUCGGGUAGGUCGCUUGAGCGUAUGAGUGAUUGUACGCCUAGAGGAAUGAUCGUCCUCGACAGAACCCGGCUUAUAGGCCCACUUCUCAA
Molecule: RNase P RNA, 356 nt
Filed under: Acinetobacter higginsii
Lineage: Bacteria; Pseudomonadati; Pseudomonadota; Gammaproteobacteria; Moraxellales; Moraxellaceae
Description: RNase P RNA component class A
Rfam family: Bacterial RNase P class A
About the family: Ribonuclease P (RNase P) is a ubiquitous endoribonuclease, found in archaea, bacteria and eukarya as well as chloroplasts and mitochondria.
Source: RNAcentral